ACACCCGCGGUGGCGGCGGGGGCGGGCCCUCCGCGCACCCUCUCCGGGGAGGGGCGCACCCGUGGAUUGGCUAGCGGGCAGUGAGUGACAGCACGCCGCCACGCCCCCUCCCCACAGACGUCUUUUGCGAGGGCUGAGCAGACCGAUCCUAGAUUGGCCUUCGAGGGUGUCUUCUCGGGAAGAGGCCCUGCAGGUGUGGGCAGGCACCUCAGACCCUCGGACGCGGGCCCGGUGGCCUUCGAGGCCUCUCGCGUGGACCGCUGCCCUCCUCACGCUUCGUCCUCGCCCUACCUGCAUGCUGAUAGUCUCCGAAGCUCUGGUUUUAUCUUAGCCUUGUUUUCUUCUGGACUCAGUGCUGGGCCAGUUGCCUGGUGGCUUCACCUCUGCGCAGACAGGUGACGCCAAUCCUGGGUCUCCCCUGACCUCCCGACCCAGGCAUCUCACUAUCUGCGCCACAGCCUUCCCAUCCUCAUCACAUGGCUCCUUCCAGCAGCUACACCUUCUCUAUAUGGCAGCGAACCCCUGAGUUUAGAAGGCCCCACGCCUUGCCAGGAACCUUUGUUCUUUUCUGCCUCACUCCUAGAUAAUCCACUGAGGUUCUUCCCUCCUCGAGCCUUUGGGGCUCUCUCUAGUCUACCAACGAUCCUGAAGCCCCAUCUUCUCUCUGUACACUAUCCUCUUAGGUCUUGCCUGCAUCUGCUUCAGAAUUUACCAAUAAAAUGAAAUUCAAUCCUUUCAGUUAAGUACGUGAAUUCCCACUGUGCUUCAAAUCAGCACAGCUUCGUCGUUCCCCUUCCUCUCCCGCAUCAUCUCUCGCCACUGACUUUCCCUCAAUUCUCCACACAGGACACCUGUCUGUGACUGCUGAAUAACUUAAAAUCAAUCUUGCAAAAGCCGUUCCUCUGAACAGUACGGGCAAACCUGAGGGCAUCCCUUGAUCCUGCUGUCUGACCAGUGAUGAGCAGUUGGGCAGCUAUCAUGCAACUCUGGAUAGCUUAACUGCAUUUCAGAGGUUCAGAGCCCGACGACUUGAAGUGAGCUACAUAAUAAGUGGGGACCUGAAUCCGUGUGUUUCUGUUCCACAGGAGAGCCCACUGUGUGAGAGCACACAUCCCUACUGUGCCUUCUAGAGGAUCUGUUAGCAGGGCAGGAACACAUAAAGCCUGUUCCAGAAGUGGCCACAGAAAUGUCCACAGGCCGUGCUGUCUGACAAGGGCACAGGGAGCAAGAAGGCCCUGAUCUAGAUUCUUCCGUGGUUGUGGGGAGAGAACGAAGUGAGAGGUUCUGUGUGUUCAUGAAAUACAGCCUCCUCAAAUGAGGAAGGAGGAAGUGUUGCCUGUCUUCACAGGCCAGUGAAGUUCAAGCUUCAAGGAAGCAAGCGUUUCCUGCCGUGGUCCCAGCACCUGAGACCAUUAAGGAAGGUGGUUCUGAAUAGAACGCGUAUGCCAGCAAGCUCAGGUCUAGACCCUUCAGUCCGUGACCCAUUUGGACCUUCCUUUUAGCCAGGAGCUCACCUUUUCAUCUUGAAUUUCAGACUUAGGAUAACAGAAGGAACAUUGGUAGGGAUUAUGGCUACUUUGGGGUACCCAGAGCUCUGGGUUGGCUACAGUUAACAGUUAACUCCUUCGACCAAUCAAUAGUCUUCCUUCCAUCUGAGAGGCUUCUGAGAUCUGGUACUCAGUACAGACUGGAGGCUUCACCACAUAAGAAAGCUAUCCUGUUUCUGUUCAGUACAUGUGGAAAGCUCUCCACAAUUGUUUCCCAAAUAAACAGGCCGUCUUGUGCAAGCGCUACUGCCCACACUGGGCUUAGGCAGCUCUCGGAGGAUAACUGUACAUUUCCUGGCUUUCUGGGCCUAUCUUUAGGGAUGGAGCCUCUGCUACUCUUGAUUCCACAUCAGGACAGACGUACUUCCAGGUCAAGCCCCAUACCAUCUUCCCACUGGGAGGGACCAACCCUUGCUGACCUGAAUGAACAGACCGUGCACUGCACUAAAUCUCAGCCCCCGGCCUUUACUGUGGCCUGGGGCCUCAUUCACAAAGAGGCAGACGCUAUGUUUCCGUUAAGUUGUAGGAGUUUAUUUUAAAUAACCUACAGUUGAUUAAAAGGGAAUUCAUGAUAAAAAUAGAAGAUACUUGAGGAAAGAUGUGGGAAUGGACUCUGCACACACACUAAACUAACAAUGCCUCUAAAACUAAUGAUUAUAGCAAAAAAAAAGUCUUCACAUUAAAAUUUUCCUUUUUAUGGUUUUUUCCAUUUUUUACACAAUUACAAAAGAAAAAAAAAUAAAAGCCCUAAAAUCUUGAUUAUUUUUUCCUUUUUGUUUUGUUUUUGUUUUUGUUUUCCUUGGACCAAAUGCUCAUUUUCCUCUAAAUUUAUUGACCUGUGGAAGUUUUUAUACAAUAAAAUCUUUCAAAUGAAAGACUGGGGUUUCCAAAGAAAAAGAUGGAUUUCUUAAAGGGUACAAAGAAUGGUCAGAACA
This 2482-nucleotide small RNA is filed under the name Rattus norvegicus (Norway rat). RNAcentral describes it as "uncharacterized LOC102551164". Lineage: Eukaryota; Metazoa; Chordata; Mammalia; Rodentia; Muridae. The record is from RNAcentral.